Molecule: ribosomal RNA, 616 nt
Filed under: Filobasidium oeirense
Lineage: Eukaryota; Fungi; Basidiomycota; Tremellomycetes; Filobasidiales; Filobasidiaceae
Description: eukaryotic LSU rRNA
Rfam family: Eukaryotic large subunit ribosomal RNA
Source: RNAcentral
GGAGGAAAAGAAACUAACAAGGAUUCCCCUAGUAACGGCGAGUGAAGCGGGAAGAGCUCAAAUUUGAAAUCUGGUGGCCUCAGGUCAUCCGAGUUGUAAUCUAUAGAAGUGUUUUCCGUGCUGGCUCAUGUACAAGUCCCUUGGAACAGGGCGUCAUAGAGGGUGAGAAUCCCGUCCUUGACAUGAACUACCAGUGCUCUGUGAUACAUUUUCAACGAGUCGAGUUGUUUGGGAAUGCAGCUCAAAAUGGGUGGUAAAUUCCAUCUAAAGCUAAAUAUUGGCGAGAGACCGAUAGCGAACAAGUACCGUGAGGGAAAGAUGAAAAGCACUUUGGAAAGAGAGUUAAACAGUAUGUGAAAUUGUUGAAAGGGAAACGAUUGAAGUCAGUCGUGCUCUUUGGAUUCAGCCGGUUCUGCCGGUGUACUUCCUUUGAGUGGGGUCAACAUCAGUUUUGAUCGCUGGAUAAAGGCAGGAGGAACGUAGUACCCUCGGGUAAACUUAUAGCCUCUUGUCACAUACAGUGGUUGGGACUGAGGAACGCAGCACGCCUUUAUGGCCGGGAUUCGUCCACGUACGUGCUUAGGAUGUUGACAUAAUGGCUUUAAACGACCCGUCU